RNAcentral lists this ribosomal RNA (509 nucleotides) under uncultured microorganism. RNAcentral's name for it is "bacterial SSU rRNA". It matches the Rfam family "Bacterial small subunit ribosomal RNA", at positions 9 to 501 of the family's 1533-position model. The record is from RNAcentral.
GAGUUUGAUCCUGGCUCAGGAUGAACGCUGGCGGCGUGCCUAAUACAUGCAAGUCGAGCGAACGGACGAGAAGCUUGCUUCUCUGAUGUUAGCGGCGGACGGGUGAGUAACACGUGGGUAACCUACCUAUAAGACUGGGAUAACUCCGGGAAACCGGGGCUAAUACCGGAUAACACAUGAAACCGCAUGGUUUCAUGAUGAAAGACGGUCUUGCUGUCACUUAUAGAUGGAUCCGCGCUGCAUUAGCUAGUUGGUAAGGUAACGGCUUACCAAGGCAACGAUGCAUAGCCGACCUGAGAGGGUGAUCGGCCACACUGGAACUGAGACACGGUCCAGACUCCUACGGGAGGCAGCAGUAGGGAAUCUUCCGCAAUGGGCGAAAGCCUGACGAGCAACGCCGCGUGAGUGAUGAAGGUCUUCGGAUCGUAAAACUCUGUUAUUAGGGAAGAACAUAUGUGUAAGUAACUGUGCACAUCUUGACGGUACCUAAUCAGAAAGCCACGGCUAAC